RNAcentral lists this ribosomal RNA (492 nucleotides) under uncultured bacterium. RNAcentral's name for it is "partial 16S ribosomal RNA". It matches the Rfam family "Bacterial small subunit ribosomal RNA", at positions 29 to 507 of the family's 1533-position model. The record is from RNAcentral.
AGUGAACGCUGGCGGUAGGCCUAACACAUGCAAGUCGAACGGUAGCACAGUAAGAGCUCGCUCUUACGGGUGGCGAGUGGCGGAUGGGUGAGGAAUACAUCGGAAUCUACUUUUUCGUGGGGGAUAACGUAGGGAAACAUACGCUACUACCGCAUACGACAUACGGGUGAAAGCAGGGGAGCUUCGGACCUUGCGCGAUCGAAUGAGCGGAUGUCGGAUUAGCUAGUUGGCGGGGUAAAGGCCCACCAAGGCGACGAUCCGUAGCUGGUCUGCGAGGAUGAUCAGCCACACUGGAACUGAGACACGGUCCAGACUCCUACGGGAGGCAGCAGUGGGGAAUAUUGGACAAUGGGCGCAAGCCUGAUCCAGCCAUACCGCGUGGGUGAAGAAGGCCUUCGGGUUGUAAAGCCCUUUUGUUGGGAAAGAAAAGCAGCAGGUUAAAACCUCGCUGUUCUGACGGUACCCAAAGAAUAAGCACCGGCUAACUUCGUG